This is a non-coding RNA of Oryza barthii, 177 nucleotides long. Lineage: Eukaryota; Viridiplantae; Streptophyta; Magnoliopsida; Poales; Poaceae. The record is from Rfam.
UUUAAGUGUAAGUAUAAGUUUUUGCGUCCAACUUUAAUCCUUCGUCUUAUUUAUUUUUUAUAAUUAGCAUUUUUAUUAUUAUGAGAUGAUAAAAUAUGAAUAGUAACUUGUGUUUUUAUUUUUUUUAAUAAGACGGACGGUGAAAGUUAUGCACGAAAAAUCAUGGUUGUACUUAAA